RNAcentral lists this ribosomal RNA (510 nucleotides) under uncultured bacterium. RNAcentral's name for it is "bacterial SSU rRNA". It matches the Rfam family "Bacterial small subunit ribosomal RNA", at positions 338 to 839 of the family's 1533-position model. The record is from RNAcentral.
CCUACGGGAGGCAGCAGUGGGGAAUUUUGGACAAUGGGCGCAAGCCUGAUCCAGCAAUGCCGCGUGCAGGAUGAAGGCCUUCGGGUUGUAAACUGCUUUUGUACGGAACGAAACGGUGAGCUCUAAUACAGUUUGCUAAUGACGGUACCGUAAGAAUAAGCACCGGCUAACUACGUGCCAGCAGCCGCGGUAAUACGUAGGGUGCGAGCGUUAAUCGGAAUUACUGGGCGUAAAGCGUGCGCAGGCGGUGAUGUAAGACAGAUGUGAAAUGCCCGGGCUCAACCUGGGACCUGCAUUUGUGACUGCAUCGCUAGAGUACGGUAGAGGGGGAUGGAAUUCCGCGUGUAGCAGUGAAAUGCGUAGAUAUGCGGAGGAACACCGAUGGCGAAGGCAAUCCCCUGGACCUGUACUGACGCUCAUGCACGAAGACGGUGGGGAGGACGAACAGGAUUAGAUACCUCGUACGUCCACCGCCUAACGAUGUCACUGGUUGGUUGGGUUCGUUCUACU